AGUGAACGCUGGCGGUAGGCCUAACACAUGCAAGUCGAACGGCAGCACAGUAAGAGCUUGCUCUUACGGGUGGCGAGUGGCGGACGGGUGAGGAAUACAUCGGAAUCUACUUUUUCGUGGGGGAUAACGUAGGGAAACUUACGCUAAUACCGCAUACGACCUACGGGUGAAAGCAGGGGAUCUUCGGACCUUGCGCGAUUGAAUGAGCCGAUGUCGGAUUAGCUAGUUGGCGGGGUAAAGGCCAACCAAGGCGACGAUCCGUAGCUGGUCUGAGAGGAUGAUCAGCCACACUGGAACUGGGACACGGUCCAGACUCCUACGGGAGGCAGCAGUGGGGAAUAUUGGACAAUGGGCGCAAGCCUGAUCCAGCCAUACCGCGUGAGUGAAGAAGGCCUUCGGGUUGUAAAGCCCUUUUGUUGGGAAAGAAAAGCAGCAGGUUAAUACCCCGCUGUUCUGACGGUACCCAAAGAAUAAGCACCGGCUAACUUCGUG
RNAcentral lists this ribosomal RNA (492 nucleotides) under uncultured bacterium. RNAcentral's name for it is "partial 16S ribosomal RNA". It matches the Rfam family "Bacterial small subunit ribosomal RNA", at positions 29 to 507 of the family's 1533-position model. The record is from RNAcentral.